RNAcentral lists this ribosomal RNA (398 nucleotides) under uncultured bacterium. Its description in RNAcentral is "partial 16S ribosomal RNA". It matches the Rfam family "Bacterial small subunit ribosomal RNA", at positions 523 to 918 of the family's 1533-position model. The record is from RNAcentral.
AUACGUAGGGUGCGAGCGUUGUCCGGAAUUACUGGGCGUAAAGAGCUCGUAGGUGGUUUGUCGCGUCGUCUGUGAAAUUCCGGGGCUUCACUCCGGGCGUGCAGGCGAUACGGGCAUAACUUGAGUACUGUAGGGGAGACUGGAAUUCCUGGUGUAGCGGUGAAAUGCGCAGAUAUCAGGAGGAACACCGGUGGCGAAGGCGGGUCUCUGGGCAGUAACUGACGCUGAGGAGCGAAAGCAUGGGUAGCGAACAGGAUUAGAUACCCUGGUAGUCCAUGCCGUAAACGGUGGGCGCUAGGUGUAGGGGUCUUCCACGACUUCUGUGCCGUAGCUAACGCACUAAGCGCCCCGCCUGGGGAGUACGGCCGCAAGGCUAAAACUCAAAGGAAUUGACGGGG